This 494-nucleotide ribosomal RNA is filed under the name uncultured bacterium. Its description in RNAcentral is "partial 16S ribosomal RNA". It matches the Rfam family "Bacterial small subunit ribosomal RNA", at positions 28 to 507 of the family's 1533-position model. The record is from RNAcentral.
GACGAACGCUGGCGGCGUGCUUAACACAUGCAAGUCGAACGGAAAGGCCUGCUUUCCCUUGUGGAUUGCGGGUACUCGAGUGGCGAAAGGGUGAGUAAAACGUGAGUGAUCUGUCCCCAACUUUGGUAUAAGCCUGGGAAACUGGGUCUAAUUCCCGAUAGGACUGCAGGGUGGUGCCUGUGGUGGCAAACGAUUGUCUAGUGGUUGGGGAUGAGCUGGCGGCCUAUCAGCUUGUUGGUGGGGUAAUGGCUUACGAAGGGGGCGACGGGUAGCCGGCCAGGGGUGGUGGGCCGGCACGUUUGGACGGGCAUACUGGGCAGGCGCCAACGGGCAGCAGCCGGGGGGAGGAAUGCACGGUGGGCGGAGGCCUGAUGCAGCGACGCUGCGUGGGGGAUGACGGCCGUCGGGUGGUAAACUUCUUUCGGUCGCGAGCAAGCCACCUGGUUGGAAGGGUAGUGACGGUAGUGGUAGAAGAAGCACCGGCUAACUACGUG